This 481-nucleotide ribosomal RNA is filed under the name uncultured bacterium. Its description in RNAcentral is "partial 16S ribosomal RNA". It matches the Rfam family "Bacterial small subunit ribosomal RNA", at positions 28 to 507 of the family's 1533-position model. The record is from RNAcentral.
GAUGAACGCUGGCGGCGUGCCUAACACAUGCAAGUCGAGCGAAGCGCUUAAAUUAGAUUUCUUCGGAAUGACGAUUUUUGUGACUGAGCGGCGGACGGGUGAGUAACGCGUGGGUAACCUGCCUCAUACAGGGGGAUAACAGUUAGAAAUGACUGCUAAUACCGCAUAAGACCCCAGCUUCGCAUGAAGCGGUGGUAAAAACUCCGGUGGUAUGAGAUGGACCCGCGUCUGAUUAGCUAGUUGGUAAGGUAACGGCUUACCAAGGCGACGAUCAGUAGCCGACCUGAGAGGGUGACCGGCCACAUUGGGACUGAGACACGGCCCAGACUCCUACGGGAGGCAGCAGUGGGGAAUAUUGCACAAUGGGGGAAACACUGAUGCAGCGACGCCGCGUGAAGGAUGAAGUAUUUCGGUAUGUAAACUUCUAUCAGCAGGGAAGAAAGUGACGGUACCUGACUAAGAAGCCCCGGCUAACUACGUG